RNAcentral lists this unclassified non-coding RNA (217 nucleotides) under uncultured fungus. RNAcentral describes it as "sequence contains ITS1". Lineage: Eukaryota; Fungi. The record is from RNAcentral.
UUAACUUGUUUUGUUAAAGUGUUUUCAGACAUAAGACUGUUCAUGGUAUCAAAAAUAGUUUUUGAGUAAAAAAAGGGAGGGUUCACAUGUGUGGUAUGAGAUGACCGGACGACGGGAAACUACACACGCCCCCGCUUGUUCAGCGGGGGGGGGUCUCACCGGUCGCCGGAGCUCAAGAGAAGUGUUAAUGAUCCUUCCGCAGGUUCACCUACGGAAA